AUUGAACGCAGGCGGCAUGCUUCACACAUGCAAGUCGAACGGUAACAGGUCUUCGGAUGCUGACGAGUGGCGAACGGGUGAGUAAUACAUCGGAACGUGCCUGGUAGUGGGGGAUAACUACUCGAAAGAGUAGCUAAUACCGCAUGAGAUCUACGGAUGAAAGCAGGGGACCUUCGGGCCUUGUGCUACUAGAGCGGCUGAUGGCAGAUUAGGUAGUUGGUGGGGUAAAGGCUUACCAAGCCUGCGAUCUGUAGCUGGUCUGAGAGGACGACCAGCCACACUGGGACUGAGACACGGCCCAGACUCCUACGGGAGGCAGCAGUGGGGAAUUUUGGACAAUGGGCGAAAGCCUGAUCCAGCAAUGCCGCGUGCAGGAUGAAGGCCCUCGGGUUGUAAACUGCUUUUGUACGGAACGAAAAGCCUGGGGCUAAUAUCCCCGGGUCAUGACGGUACCGUAAGAAUAAGCACCGGCUAACUACGUGCCAGCCGCCGCAGUAA
Molecule: ribosomal RNA, 498 nt
Filed under: uncultured bacterium
Lineage: Bacteria
Description: partial 16S ribosomal RNA
Rfam family: Bacterial small subunit ribosomal RNA
Source: RNAcentral